This 797-nucleotide ribosomal RNA is filed under the name uncultured Bradyrhizobium sp. Its description in RNAcentral is "bacterial SSU rRNA". It matches the Rfam family "Bacterial small subunit ribosomal RNA", at positions 707 to 1505 of the family's 1533-position model. The record is from RNAcentral. Lineage: Bacteria; Pseudomonadati; Pseudomonadota; Alphaproteobacteria; Hyphomicrobiales; Nitrobacteraceae.
CACCAGUGGCGAAGGCGGCUCACUGGCCCGAUACUGACGCUGAGGCACGAAAGCGUGGGGAGCAAACAGGAUUAGAUACCUGGUAGUCACGCCGUAAACGAUGAAUGCCAGCCGUGGUGAGUUUACUCAGCAGUGGCGCAGUUAACGCUUUAAGCAUUCCGCCUGGGGAGUACGGUCGCAAGAUUAAAACUCGAAGGAAUUGACGGGGGCCCGCACAAGCGGUGGAGCAUGUGGUUUAAUUCGACGCAACGCGCAGAACCUUACCAGCCCUUGACAUGUCCAUGACCGGUCGCAGAGAUGUGACCUUCUCUUCGGAGCAUGGAGCACAGGUGCUGCAUGGCUGUCGUCAGCUCGUGUCGUGAGAUGUUGGGUUAAGUCCCGCAACGAGCGCAACCCUCGCCCUUAGUUGCCAUCAUUUAGUUGAGCACUCUAAGGGGACUGCCGGUGAUAAGCCGAGAGGAAGGUGGGGAUGACGUCAAGUCCUCAUGGCCCUUACGGGCUGGGCUACACACGUGCUACAAUGGCGGUGACAAUGGGACGCAAAGGAGCAAUCCCUAGCAAAUCUCAAAAAGCCGUCUCAGUUCGGAUUGUUCUCUGCAACUCGAGAGCAUGAAGUUGGAAUCGCUAGUAAUCGUGUAUCAGCAUGCCACGGUGAAUACGUUCCCGGGCCUUGUACACACCGCCCGUCACACCAUGGGAGUUGGUUCUACCUGAAGGCGGUGCGCUAACCAGCAAUGGAGGCAGCCGACCACGGUAGGGUCAGCGACUGGGGUGAAGUCGUAACAAGGUAGCCGUAA